CCCAAAGAACACAAAAAGGCCAAAAAAGAAACACCAAAGUUGGAGAGUAGCCACCACCCCGCCCUUAAACCCCGAGCGGCAGAGAUGAUUGGAGGCGGCAAGAGCUACGUCUCAGCCCCACCGGCCUCCUCCACCGGCUAUACAGAUACUGUCGUUGGAGGGCCACACGGCGUUGGUCACCGCCGUCAUAGUGGUUCCCGGUAACAAAGCCCUCAGCUUCUGCUGGACGGCCUCGCUCUUGACGGCACCGUUAGGUAUUGGGACUUUGCCGCCGCCGAGUUGAUGAAGACCACUGAUAUCAAAAUGCCUAUUUACUCCAUGGUAAUACCUUCUGUCACUCCAUGACUAGAAAACCACAAGUUACAUCUAUCAGUCCCUCAGGAAAAUUCUUUGAAAAAGCGGAAGCUUCAUAUCUGGAGAACCCCUGGCUAAAGAUUCUAAACUCCCAGUGGCCAAGAUUACGCUACACCAUACAAGAAAUUUCACACUUCUUGCAUUUCAUACAACAAAGAGGCUCGUUGCUGCAGGUGAUACAUCUGGGAGAAUUCUAAUCUGGAGAGGGUUUGGUAACCGUACAUUUUCAGAUGGUGACAAACUAGUAAACUGAGGAUCAAUGAAUGAUGAGGAAGAAAGACCUGGGAUCAGGGGAGAUGAUGAUGCUGACUCUUGCACCACUUGGCAUUGGCAUCCUACUGGAAUUAAUCUCCUUCGUUUUUCUUCUGAUGGAGCGUAUUUAUAUUCAGACUUGACCAUUCAAUGACACAAUGUUGGUAUUCAGGUGGAAAGGAAGGAGUUCUCGUGGACUGGCAGCUAGACACAGGGAAAAAGAAAUUUUUACCAAGAAUUGGAUCUCCACUUCUAUAUUUAACUGAUUCUCUAGAUCCUUCACUUUCUGCUAUAUCUUGUGCAGAUAAUCAAAUUCACUUACAAAAAAUGCCCUCAAUGGAAAUCACAAAGUCUAUUUCAGGGAUCAAGCCCCCCUUUUCUUCUCCGGAUGUAUAUGAAGGCAUAUGCAGCAAGUUUGCCUUCGAUGACACUGCUGGGUUAGUUGCCUUGCGCACAGAGAACUAUCGCAUCCAGUUUUACAGCUUGUUUGAUGACCGUGAAAUUUCUGAGGGCUGUUCACUCGGGAUUCAAAAAGACUCUUUUGCCCUUCAUUUUCUGUUCAGUUACAUCCCUGCCAUUCAGUCUGGGUAAAAAGGCCCCCGACUGCAGCUUUAGAUAUUUUCUCUCUCUCGCUCUCUUCCCUCACGAACUGUAACCUGAGAAGGAGAGAAUCUUGGAUGCUUCUCUGCUCGGCUUAAUUUGGGGUUAAAUUUGUGCUUACCCAGUUGGUAAUUGAUUUGACGGUGAAGAUACAAAACUCCAGAAACCAAUACCAUCAGACUUCACAACAAUCAGCUUUUGGAGAAAGCACUGGAAGAAUGUGGUGAUGGUUUGGAUUUAGCAAUAAGAAGCUUGAAUCAGCUAUACUUUUGUUUGGCUGCAAAUAAAUCUGGUGUGCUGUCAGAAGCAGGUUUCCAAUCCCAGCCUGGAGUCACCGUGUUAGAAGGAAAAACAAGCAGUUAAUCCCUCUUUACAUACACCUAUUCGAUUAUACACACUCUUGGCACAUGUAGAGGGUCAACCGAAGGGUGAUAGAAUGUCCAAGCCUGAACUAUUUGUGAUAGCAAAACAUCCAGGUCAAAACCAACCAAGAGAUUUGUUUGGAAAAAAAAAAAUCCAUAAAUACCAGUAUAUGCAAUGGUGUUCGUCAUUCAAUUGCAAAAUAUGAUUUAGAGUCCAGUUGCAGUUGGCUGCAAAGAUGUUAGUUGGUUGCUUGGCUUAUCAAGUUUAUCUUUCGAUGUACAUAAAUAUCUACUGUGGUGCACUUUCUAGUUCUAUAUAUACUAAUUGAGUGCUCGAGCAGGUAUAGGAAAAGACGCUUUUAUCCCUCUUUCCUCUUAUUUUACGACGCUGCCACUAACCUGGGUAUAAGAACCUAUCGAUCAGCAGCAGCAGUUUUGUUCUCUUUCCGCUCUCUUCUCCCCCUUCAGAAAGUGAUAGCCACGGAUUGCGACAGAGAGAGAGAGAGGUAUUCUGUGUCUUCUGGGUCCCUUCACUAUUCUGUGAGAGAGAGAACAAGGGAGUGAAGGCUGAUCCGAGAGAGAGGAAGAACAGGGAACGGGAAUAGGAAGAAGAAUUUGAUACACCAAGUUGAGGUAUGACAAAUCAAAAUGGUGGUUGGGCCGACAGCAAAGGGAUCUUCAUUUUAAGAGGCUUCCAAAAAAGCUUUUGCUGAUGCAUAUGCGGUGACGGCAGUUAGCCAAGAAGUUGUUCAUCCGGAAAGUUCCAAUUAAAAGAAGCAGAGUUCAAAGCUCCGUCUAUCUGAGCUUCUAUAUAUAUAAAUGAAAGAGGGGAGGAUUUACGAUCGUUCAUCAGGCUGUUGGCACUAACAGAACCAAGCCAAAUCCUAAAGGUGAAAAACCCAUAAGCAUUGAUAUAGAGAACAUCUGAGAAAUAUAUGAGCUGGAGACACAAAUGCAACUUCUAAAAGUUCCUCACAAGAUGGCCAGACAAAGAGGGACUCAGAUUACUCAUCAAAUGAGAAUUGGCGCCAUGAUGAGCCAUUAUCUGUAUCUGCCAUCCUAUUACCAAUUAAUCAUUUUGAAUUGAAUGAUCAUGUGGUAUUUGGUGCCUGCCACACUAUCUUCACUACUUAUUAUGCCUUAGUCAGAGGGUACAAGUCUGUGAGAGAAACCAUCAACCGGGCGAUGAAGUCUCUGUAAUAGUGACUUUGGUGUGUCUGUCUGGAGAUGGCUCUAUGAUGAGCACGGUGGAAGUUAAUCUUCCUGAGGAUGGAAUAGGUGGUCUUGUGUGUCUUAAGUUCUGGGCAUCAGAUUUGCAGAACAAAAAUUUCAACUUGUCCACCAUUGUGUGUGAACCUCACAGGCCAAGGGAGGGGGACUUGCUUUCCUUAAAGGGAACUCACCUUCCUUUCAACAACAAAGUAUAGCAGAUGGAAAAUCACCACAAGCUUUGCUUGCCUAUAUAAAUGCCGAUCAUGAGUACAUCCUCUUUGGUCCAUA
Rosa chinensis is the source of this 3068-nucleotide RNA transcript. RefSeq lists it as uncharacterized. Lineage: Eukaryota; Viridiplantae; Streptophyta; Magnoliopsida; Rosales; Rosaceae. The record is from RefSeq and is a predicted model, not a curated record. The transcript is spliced from 18 exons.